This 822-nucleotide ribosomal RNA is filed under the name Mikania sp. Ferreira 376. RNAcentral's name for it is "eukaryotic LSU rRNA". The stretch from base 378 to 533 matches the Rfam family "5.8S ribosomal RNA". The record is from RNAcentral. Lineage: Eukaryota; Viridiplantae; Streptophyta; Magnoliopsida; Asterales; Asteraceae.
GACGUGGGCGGUCGCCGCUGGCGACGUCGUGAGAAUUCCACUGAACCUUAUCAUUUAGAGGAAGGAGAAGUCGUAACAAGGUUUCCGUAGGUGAACCUGCGGAAGGAUCAUUGUCGAAUCCUGCGUAGCAGAACAACCUGUGAACAUGUAACAACAAAAUGGCUUGGCUGGGAAUGAUGCUUUUGUUUCAGACCUUGUGAAGCCUUGUCAACAUGUGUUUGUGGUUGCCUCUUUUAGUCACUCAUGGAUGUCAUGUUGAUGGAACAACAACCCCUCGGCACAACACGUGCCAAGGAAAUUAAAUCUUAAGAGGGCCCGUGCUAUAACGCCCCGUACGUGGUGCGUUCAUCGUAUGUGGCUGCUAUUUUAUCUAAAACGACUCUCGGCAACGGAUAUCUUGGCUCACGCAUCGAUGAAGAACGUAGCAAAAUGCGAUACUUGGUGUGAAUUGCAGAAUCCCGUGAACCAUCGAGUUUUUGAACGCAAGUUGCGCCCGAAGCCACCUGGUUGAGGGCACGUCUGCCUGGGUGUCACGCAUCAUGUUGCCCCAAAUCAAACUUACCUCAUCGGAAUGUGUUGUUUGUGGGCGGAGAUUGGCCUCCUGUGCCCAUGGUGUUGUUGGCCAAAAUACGAGUCCCCUGAAAGAGUGACGCGCGACUGGUGGUGGUUGAUUAUACGGUAGUCUUGUGUCGUUCGUUUUUAAUCUUGACGGGAAAAAGCUCUUAAAAUACCCUAAUGGUUUGUCCUGUGACAACUGUUCGAUUGCGACCCCAGGUCAGGCGGGACUACCCGCCGAGUUUAAGCAUAUCAAUAAGCGGAGGA